AUGGUGAAUUACUACAAAGUACUAGGUGUGCCUCAAAAUGCUUCCUCCCCUGAUAUUAAGAAGGCUUAUCACCAGUUGGCUCUGCAGGUACACCCAGACAAGAACCCAGGGAACAAAGAGGCAUCUGAGGAGAAAUUCAAACAAGUAGCAAGAGGCCUAUGAGGUCUUGUCUGAUGCCAGGAAAUGAAAUGAGUAUGACAAGUCCAGAAGGAACCGAACCAAAAGGGAAACAGAGGAGAUGGCAGAGACAAAAAACAUUUGGAGGAGGAACUAUGCAUUCUCAGGAUUCUCAGGAAAUUGAUGGAAAAUCCCUGCUAUUGAUGACAAGAAAUGAUGUGUUGACAGGACUUCAGUUAAAAUUGGGGCCUGCUCUGAAAAUCUACGAAUAUCAUGUAAAACCUCUGCAGACAAAGCAUUUAAAGAACAACUCUUCAUAGUACAGUCAAAUUGGGGUCUUCGACCUCAAAAAAUACAUAAUGACAUAAUUUAGUUUCAUGUAAUGAAACUUUGUAAACAGAAUACAUACAUGUGUAUAUGUAAAGAAUUUCAAUCAAAUGAAACGUUAUCCUAUUGGAUAGACUAGGCAAUUCAUCAGCUCACCU
Long non-coding RNA from Homo sapiens (human), 602 nucleotides. NCBI's taxonomy places the organism in Eukaryota, Metazoa, Chordata, Mammalia, Primates, Hominidae. The record is from Ensembl.